Molecule: ribosomal RNA, 253 nt
Filed under: uncultured bacterium
Lineage: Bacteria
Description: partial 16S ribosomal RNA
Rfam family: Bacterial small subunit ribosomal RNA
Source: RNAcentral
UACAGAGGGUGCGAGCGUUAAUCGGAUUUACUGGGCGUAAAGCGCGUGUAGGCGGUCAGGCAAGUCAGAUGUGAAAUCCCUGGGCUCAACCGAGGAAGUGCAUCCGAAACUGCUUGGCUAGAAGACGGUAGAGGAAGGUGGAAUUCCUAGUGUAGAGGUGAAAUUCGUAGAUAUUCGGAAGAACACCAGUGGCGAAGGCGACUUACUGGACACAUAUUGACGCUGAGGUGCGAAAGCGUGGGGAGCAAACAGG